This 404-nucleotide ribosomal RNA is filed under the name Trochoidea spratti. Its description in RNAcentral is "partial 16S ribosomal RNA". It matches the Rfam family "Bacterial large subunit ribosomal RNA", at positions 1856 to 2597 of the family's 2925-position model. Lineage: Eukaryota; Metazoa; Mollusca; Gastropoda; Stylommatophora; Geomitridae. The record is from RNAcentral.
AUUCUGCUCCAUGGUUUAACUAAAUAGCCGCAGUACCUUGACUGUGCUAAGGUAGCAUAAUCAGUUGGCUUGUAAUUUAAGUCUGGCAUGAAAGAAGGCAUGGAUAAUAUCUGUCUAUGAACCUAAAAUAGAAUUUACUUAGUGGGUGAAAAAACCCACAAGUAGUUAAUAGACGAGAAGACCCUUGAAAUUUUUUCUAAAGCAACAUUUGUGCUGUUAACAUUUUGUUGGGGCGACAGGAUAACAAGUAACUUAUCUUAUGUUAUUAGCAUUUAGUGAUAAGGUAAAUUAAAUUACUCAAGGGAUAACAGCAUAAUGUAUUAAAGUUUGUGACCUCGAUGUUGGACUAGGGUUUCUCAGGGCCAGAAGUCUUGAGAUUCGGCUCUGUUCGCGCCAUUUUCCCU